UAAGCAGCCUGCGAGGCAGGAAUUAGUACCACCACUUCGUAAAUGAGGACACUGUGUCUCAGAGAGUUUCAACAACUCACUCAAGGUCACACAGCUAGUUGGUGGUAGCGCAAGGAUUCCAACCCAGCCUUGCCCGAUGAGAAGGGCAGUUUUGCUCUGCCUGCUGGUGCCUGCUGAGGUGACAGAGUUUUCUUUCAGCCACUGCGGAGAGGGGAGAAGCCAGAAGGUGAAGAGACAGAGAUUCACCACAACCUCUGCUGUUCUUAAAUUGCCUUGAAGCCAAAGAGAAGGUUUGCAGAUGGCUCUUCCAUGGGCUCUAAGGGAAGCUCGCAGGGAUUCUUUCCAGCUGAAUGAAUUGUCUCAACAUAUAUUUCCUCAUUUAAUCCUUUUGAUGACCCUAUGAGGUAAUAUCAGUGUGUCAGCCAAGAAUGAAAUCAGCUACAAGUAAUGGAAAUCUUAAGCAAUGCUGGUUUAUUAUUUUAAAAUAAAAGGGAGCUAUAUAGCAGCUCAAUGCUGCCAACAGGACCUAUGAACCCUGCAACUCACUGCCUGGGUUCAUACAAGUUUCAUCCUCUAGCAAUGGGGAUAAUAACAUGCUCAGCUAAUACUACUGAUGGAGUAAGUUAAUACUCUUAAUGUGUGAGAAUCA
Long non-coding RNA from Rhinopithecus roxellana (golden snub-nosed monkey), 649 nucleotides. RefSeq lists it as uncharacterized. NCBI's taxonomy places the organism in Eukaryota, Metazoa, Chordata, Mammalia, Primates, Cercopithecidae. The record is from RefSeq and is a predicted model, not a curated record. The transcript is spliced from 3 exons.